GAACGCUCUACGCGAGUAUAGAGUGGCGGACGGGUGAGGAACACGUGGGUUAUCUACCUUUCGGUGAGGAAUACCGGCGAGAAAUCGCCGACAAAACCGCAUACCCUCAGCAAUGAGGAAAGUCGCAAGACGCCGGAAGAUGAGCCUGCGGCCGAUUAGCUAGCUGGUGGGGUAAAAGCCUACCAGGGCGACGAUCGGUAGCUGGUCUGAGAGGACGAUCAGCCACACUGGGAUUGAGAACGGCCCAGACUCCUACGGGGGGCAGCAGUGAGGAAUUUUCGUCAAUGGCCGAAAGGCUGAACGAGCAACGCCGCGUGCAGGAAGAAGGUCUUCGGAUCGUAAACUGCUUUUCUCUGGGACGAGUUUGGACGGUACCAGAGGAAGAAGCCCCGGCUAACUACGUGCCAGCAGCCGCGGUAAU
This 421-nucleotide ribosomal RNA is filed under the name uncultured bacterium. RNAcentral describes it as "bacterial SSU rRNA". It matches the Rfam family "Bacterial small subunit ribosomal RNA", at positions 64 to 524 of the family's 1533-position model. The record is from RNAcentral.